This 391-nucleotide unclassified non-coding RNA is filed under the name soil metagenome. Its description in RNAcentral is "partial contains 5.8S ribosomal RNA, internal transcribed spacer 2, and large subunit ribosomal RNA". The stretch from base 1 to 122 matches the Rfam family "5.8S ribosomal RNA", at positions 35 to 154 of the family's 154-position model. The record is from RNAcentral.
GAUGAAGAACGUAGCGAAAUGCGAUACUUGGUGUGAAUUGCAGAAUCCCGUGAACCAUCGAGUCUUUGAACGCAAGUUGCGCCCGAAGCCACUAGGCCGAGGGCACGCCUGCCUGGGCGUCACACGCCGUUGCCCCCCCAUCUACUCCUUCGGGAUUGCGGGGGGGCGGAUGAUGGCCUCCUGUGCGCCUAGCCGCGCGGUUGGCAUAAAUACCAAGUCCUCGGCGACGCACGCCACGACAAUCGGUGGUUGCGAAACCUCGGUUGCCCGUCGUGUGCGUUCGUCGCGCAUCGAGGGCUCGAAAAAAUGCUCGGCUCCGGCUGGGCUUUCAACGCGACCCCAGGUCAGGCGGGGAUACCCGCUGAAUUUAAGCAUAUCAAUAAGCGGAGGA